CAGUCGCCGCGGGAAUACGGAGGGUGCAAGCGUUAUCCGGAUUUAUUGGGUUUAAAGGGUCCGUAGGCGGACUUAUAAGUCAGUGGUGAAAGCCUGUCGCUUAACGAUAGAACUGCCAUUGAUACUGUAAGUCUUGAGUAUAUUUGAGGUAGCUGGAAUAAGUAGUGUAGCGGUGAAAUGCAUAGAUAUUACUUAGAACACCAAUUGCGAAGGCAGGUUACCAAGAUAUAACUGACGCUGAGGGACGAAAGCGUGGGUAGCGAACAGGAUUAGAUACCCCUGUAGUCCCUGUCUCUUAUAC
Molecule: ribosomal RNA, 301 nt
Filed under: uncultured bacterium
Lineage: Bacteria
Description: partial 16S ribosomal RNA
Rfam family: Bacterial small subunit ribosomal RNA
Source: RNAcentral